AUUGAACGCUGGCGGCAGGCCUAAUACAUGCAAGUCGAACGGUAACAUAAGAAAAGCUUGCUUUUCUUGAUGACGAGUGGCGGACGGGUGAGUAAUAUUUGGGAAACUACCUGAUAGAGGGGGACAACAGUUGGAAACGACUGCUAAUACCGCAUACAGCCUUAGGGUGAAAGAAGGAAUUCGCUAUCAGAUGUGCCCAAACGGGAUUAGCUAGUAGGUGAGGUAAAGGCUCACCUAGGCGACGAUCUCUAGCUGGUCUGAGAGGAUGAUCAGCCACAUUGGGACUGAGACACGGCCCAGACUCCUACGGGAGGCAGCAGUAGGGAAUAUUGCACAAUGGAGGAAACUCUGAUGCAGCCAUGCCGCGUGUGUGAAGAAGGCCUUCGGGUUGUAAAGCACUUUCGGAGGGGAGGAAUAAAAUGACGUUACCCUCAGAAGAAGCACCGGCUAACUCCGUGCCAGCCGCCGCGGUAA
Molecule: ribosomal RNA, 474 nt
Filed under: uncultured bacterium
Lineage: Bacteria
Description: partial 16S ribosomal RNA
Rfam family: Bacterial small subunit ribosomal RNA
Source: RNAcentral